AAGCAUAAAAUUUGAACUCAUACAAAAAGAGAAGUGAGAAAAGGCAUAACUAAAGACCAGUUACUCUGUUAAGGAGACAGAGAGAGAAAGAGGAGAAGGAGGGUAUGAAAAAAAAGGAAAAAGAAAAGUUAUGGUUUAUGUAUCUCUAAAAGAUAUAUAUCUAUGGAUAUGAGGGAGCACAGGCUAUGCAAGCAAGCAAUAGAAUAGCAAAGGAAACACCAUCCUCUUCAAGAUUGGAGCUGCUCCUCUUGAACUUGCUAGCUUUUCCUUUGUUGCAGUAUUGUAUCUGGAGCUUCUGCAUCUGCUGCUACUGCUGCUGAUGCUGAUAUUAAUCUCACCCACUCUUCUUCAUGGCCUCAUCCACCUUAGAAACCAUUUUCUUUUUCCCUCUUUUUUCUUCUCAAAGUCUUUUGGAAACUCUGUAUAUAAGAGUACUAAAGCACAGAGAGAGAGUAGAGAUUGUGCAUGGGGAACAUCAAUACAUGCAUCUCCUCAUUUUAUAGCCCAUAGUCCUACUAAAACGCCCUUAGUUUCUACCCAAAAUAUCACUAAAUUUAUAUUAGGAUCCAGUACUUAGAAUAAGAAUCUUAUAAAAGUAAUCUUAUAAAUUUAAUAUGGAAUAUUGAUGGCAUGGUGAGGUGAGCUAUGGUGCCUUAAUUGAGAAUGUCUGUUACCACCAGCCUCCAGCAACAAUGACCCAAUCUAUAGGGAUUUGUGACCAAAUUAGGGUCUCACCCAUAGGUUGAAGAAUUCUAUCGACUUAGGCACGGACUCAAUAUCCUCUUGAUGUUGAGAAUCCAUGCAAUAUAGUAAUUUGGUGAAUCAUAAUGAUUGAUAACUUUACAUCAUAAUUCAUCAUAGGUCUUGUCUAGUGUGCAUCAUACACACUAGUGCACUUACUAUGGUAAAACCAUCUCGAUGACUAAGAUAAGGCAUCCCUUUAAUUAAGAAAUAGUGCACUACAAUCUCAAAUUGAUUGCCUAAAUCCAUGAACCAACUAUGGACAACUCAUCACUUUGCAAGGAACCCAUGACUUGGAUCCUCUGUGCAACUCCUAACGUACCUAAGUCAUGCACAAUGCAAGUGAUGUAAGUAUGUAUGCUCAAAUAACCAAUUAAUACAAAUGAGAUUAUAUAAGGAAACCAAGAAGCAUAAAUAAAUAAAUUUAUAAAUAAAUCUCAAUCUAUUAUAUCAUGUCAUACUCUCCAAGGCUCAAUCCGAACACUUGAUCCCCACAAAUUAUCCAAGUUGCACAUACUAAAUGAUAAAUUUGAAAGUAUUAAAAUGAAUAAAGAUAAGCCUUUCUCUAAGUCCUACACUAAAUGCAAUCAUAUUUUAAUUCUUACUUUAAAUUAGGAAAAAAAGAUUCUUAAGUCCAAAGUGGUCCAAAAGAUAUUUAGGUAUUUCCUAGAGAGAUUUAGGUGUAAGGUGACCACCAUUGAGAAGAGUAAAAAUAUUGACAUAAUGUGAAUAGAUGAGUUAAUAGGUUCCCUACAAGCCUAUGAGAUAACUCUUCUAUCCUCCAUAAAACUUAGAGGGGUAGCCAUAAAGACCUCUAAAAAGAAUGAAUCUAAAGAUGAGAGUGAACUAGUUCUUACUCCUUCUGAAAUUUCAAUGUUCACUAAGAAAUUAAAAAAUUACAUGAAAUUACAAAAGAAAGCUAACUUAAAAGAACACUAAAAAAAGAAAGAAAAAUCUCUCUAAGAACAAAAAUGAAAAUAAAGGCUCAUUUAUCCUCAAGUUGAAUGUUAUAAUUGUAGAGGAAAUGACACAUCGAUGUUGAUUGCCCUAACCCUAAAAAAAACAAGAAGGCAAUGAAAAGCAUGUUGGUGGAAAUUUUAUAAAUCAAGAACCUAAGAGAGCAACAUAAUUUUUAGAAUUUGUGGCAAAUAAUCAAGGUCCUAGGAUAUCCUUGUUCCUCAACUAAACUCUUUUGCUCCAUUACAACAAAACUUCACUACUAGUGAGGAUAUUUUGAAACUGAAAGCAGAAAUAGAUUUACAACCCAAAUGUGAUGUGUUGACAAGGAGAAUUGAGGAGUUGGGGAUGAAGAAUAACAGAGGGGUGAAGGCCACAAAUUAGGUGUGAAAUCAUGCAGCCAUAUGCAACUCACUUGAAAAUAUGAAUUUGAAACUUAACUUUUUCAAUAUUUUAAAAGAUCCCAAAAAGUAGGAUGUUAAAAAGAAAGAAAAAGAUAGAGAAAAUAUGGCAUUGCAUUCUCACUGAUAAUGAUGAAUAUUUAUAUACAAAAAAACAUUUGAUAAGCUCUAUUCUAAUUCAAACUCUAUCUCAUACUCUAAUUCAAACUAAUAAUAAAAAUUGAUUUUCUUAAAUAGAAAUUGUUUUUAUCCUAAAUCUCCAUCAACACUCUAUGAAAUCUUAUUAUUGGUUGUUGGUUUAAAUUCCCUUUAGAUUAGCUUGAAUUCUAAUUUUGAUACAAGAUACCAUUCUUUUAGUCAUUCAUUUUGUUGAUGAUAUUUUUAUUAAGUUGGUUGAUUGCGUGUUACACUUUAUCAUUUUUUAAUUCUUCAUAUCCAUUAUUCUUCUCUUUUGCUUCCGACCAAUAUUGAUUCCAUUAAUUUAACCUCUACCUCUUUAUCACCUUCAACUCUACCUUUCUCUCUCUCUAAAAGCUUCCUCAAGGGUUAAUCGAAAACCUUAGUUCUUUUUACUUUUACUCAUUCUUCCAGUAAAUUUACAUUAUUUUCUCAACACUCAUCAUGAGUUUUUCAAAAUCAUUUUUUAUUGGUUUUUUUUUUUUCAUUUCUCAAGAUUUUUUUUCUUGUUCUUUUUUCUAGUUUUCUUGCCAACCAAACAACUAGUCUAAUGUAUUUUCUCCUUGAUUUCUCUAUAUUCUUCUUUCUCUUGAUGGUAUUAGCUAGAGUCUACCUUUAUAUCAACAUAGAGCGAAUUUAGGCUACAAGGCUAGGGCCUUGCACCGUCCCCUCCCACUACAAAUGGUAGUGGUCUUGUUGUGCCUAAUAUUGGUAAGGAUACUAUGCCCCCACCCCCACGCCCCCACCUGCCACCAAAUGGGCUUCCUCAUCAUUUGCACUGCAAUCUUUGCUUUGAGCCCUACCUGGUGUAUCAAUGCCUCCUUCCCUAUGGCCUCUAAUGCAAUAUCUUGGUUUCAAUACCUAUAUACAACCAAGAGUUUCAAAUUUGCCUCGUUCAAACCUACCAAAAUUUUCUUCUUAUAAUCUUAAAGUAAUUCUUGACUAUACUAAUUUUCCUUUCAAAGUCAUUUUUAUUGGUCACUAAUCACUAUUCUUUCUUUCAUUGGUUUUUUUUUCAAUUUUAAGGCUUAUAUGUUGUAAGUUGUGUGGUUUGAUCCUUCUCUCUCUAUUUUCUUUUAGAGAAAACAUGGCACUGCAUUCUUAUUGACGGUGAUGAAUAUUUAUAUCAAAAUAACAUUCGAGUUCUACUAUAAUUCAAACUCUAUCUUCUAUUCUAAUUCAAAUUAAUAAUAAACUUCUACUCUAGUUCAAACUCUAUAUUCUACUAUAAUUCAAACUAACAAUAAAUAGACAAAUAUUAAUUUUUAAAUUAAAGACAAACAUUAACUUUCUCUAAUAGAUGCAGUGUCCCAUGAGGAAGUCAACUGAAAUUGUGGCAAGAGAUGAAAAUUUGAUUGUGGAUAUAUUUGACCUGAAUACAAACUUGGCUGUUUUGCAGAGUAUCUUUACCAGCCCAUGUUUGAAGCAUUAAGAAGGAAAUCAAAGUGGAAGAAUUAAUCCAAUUUACCUAUGGAAAGUCAGGAAGAAGAGCAAGACAAUCAGCUAGUCUGGGGGCUAGCACCAUAGUAGAGUAGGCUUACGAUUUUGAUUUUGGUUCAUUUUGAUUUCUAUCUUUACUUGAUUACCCUUUUAGUUGUUCAUUUGUUUUUCAUUUGGUUUUGAUUUUUCUGAUUGUGUGAACAAGUGUACAGGUAGAUUUGAAGAGAAUCUGUAGAUUCUGCAAACAAUUCAAAGAGCUCAAGCUAAGGAUGUGUAAUCAUCUUCAAAGAUGAUUAAGGGUAAUCAUGCCCAAGGGGAUGGAUUUGAAUGGGAGCUGAACAUAAUCGAAAUCAUUAAUAAGCAACUUGCAGUUCAGAUAAGCAUUACUGAUGUCUAGGAAAGAUCCCAGCGCAGUGAGAACUGAUUCAAGCUUCCCAUGUAUCAACUCUUAGCUUAAUUGAGGACCAAUGCAACUGUUCUAGGAUUGAUUAUGAAAUUAUGAAUGUUGAUUUGCUGGCAUUUGAGCACACAUGGUAUCUGAAAGUUUUUAAUGGUUUCAACAGAAGAAAAUAACUUUAAAGGAUCAUGAUUCAUGCCACAUAUUGGUUUUCAUUCUUUUCUCUCAUAUUCAAGUCAUGCCUCAAGAUUCAAUUUGAAAAGAACAGUGAAAUUCUGCUCUGCUACAACACCAUAAAUGAACUCAUUCCCAUCGGAUUAUAGCAUAUCCUCAGCAUACAUACAUGUUUUAUGGGUUGUUUUUCUUUGAAAUAGGGUAUCAGUUGACUCAGUUCAAGGGUGUUUGGCGUCCAAGAAAAGAUCUUACAGUAGAUAUUGGACGUAAAUUUUCUAAAGCUAAAUCAGACUCUUAGGAUAGCACAUGACAUUAAUGAAAAAUGUUAGUUCUAGGACCUGCAGACUAGAAAAUUGAAUAAUAAAAAAGUCCUAAAUGGAGGGGAUGUUUCGAAUAAGAAAUUUACAGUUUGUGUGAACAAGAACUGGAUCUUCUUGUGAUAUUGUUAUGCAAUACUAGAUAGCCAUUGACAUAUAAAGGAAAUAUACUUUUUAGGGAAUGUUUAUAUUUGUCAAUGACCCCUGAAUUAUACAUUUCCCAUUGUGAUUAUGAUUUGCCAUCAAUCAGUUCCUUCAGGCCCAUGCCUUAAUCUCGUAGCAAAUUCUGAUAUGGUCCAAUAACAUGAAUGAGCUUCAAUACAGCAUUGUAGGGUACUGCCUUAAUUUGAUCAACCCUAUGGAGUGAUACAAAAUUCUUUGGACAUCCACAUGAAAUCCCAGGUAAAAUACAAAUGAAAAAUCCAAUCUCUGUGGGAAAUUCAUAUACCCCAACUACUCAUUUCAUUGUGUUGUGCCUGUCCUUGUUUACAAUCUUAUUAUCCAUUAGUACAUUUCCUGGUGGAGGAGGACACAAUUCUACAGGGGCUACAGGCUUAUAGAGUGCAUGGCCCGGGUUUUUCGCAUUCGAUGCCUCAGUUAACAGCCACUCUUCGACCCCAUGUGUGUGUUACAGUAAACAGCCUGUGCUUCAUCAGAAGCCCCCAAUUAUUGGUUACAGAAGGGCUUUGUCAUCUGUUAUACAAGUAGUGUUUUUUGCUUUCUUGUCUCCAUUUUUUCAAGUUGUUUUCAAAGGAGGAAGAGGACACUGUAGCAUUGCCUUUGUGUUUCCCACAAAAUGGGUUCAGAAACCAUAAAUUUCUCAGGCUUCCUCUGUUUUCAUGAAAAUCUCCCAAGAGAAAUUGUAUUUCCAGUCAGCCUUCUACCAUUUUUAAGGGACACAACUUUCUUAGUUUCCGGUUUGUGGUUCAAUUUUUGCACACAAAUUCAGAGUACCCAAUUGACUUCCUCCCUUUUUUUCUCACAAAUUAUCCAUAAUAAGUAAGAAAAUCAGAAAUUAAUCCAAGAACAUGGAGAAAUUACAUGAGAUGAAAUCAAUAUGUAAGCAAUUAAUAAGCAUAAAAUUUGAACUCAUACAGAAAGAGAAGUGAGAAAAGGCAUAACUAAAGACCAGUUACUCUCUGUGAGAGAGACAGAGAGAGAAAGAGGAGGAGGAUAUGAAAAGAAAGGAAAAGGAAAAGUAAUGGUUUAUGCAUCUCUAAAACAUAUAUAGCUAUGGAUAUGAGGGAGCACAGGCUAUGCAAGCAAGCAAUAGAAUAGCAGAGGAAGCACCAUCCUCUUCAAGAUUGGAGCUGCUCCUCUUGAAUUUGCUAGCUUUUCCUUUGUUGCAGUACUGUAUCUGCAGCUUCUGCAUCUGCUGCUGCUGCUGAUGCUGAUAUAGCUCUUUGCCACUCUUCUUCAUGGCCUCAUCCACCUUAGAAACCAUUUUCUUUUUCUCUCUUUUUUCUUCUCAAAGUCUUUUGGAAACUCUGUAUAUAAGAGUACUAAAGCACAGAGAGAGAGGAGAGAUUGUGCAUGGGGAACAUCAAUACAUGCAUCUCCUCAUUUUAUAGCCCAUAGUCCUACCAAAAUACCCUUGGUUUCUGCCCAAAAUAUCACUCUAUUUUAUAUAAGGAUCCAGUACUUAGAAUAAGGAUUUUAAAAAUGUAAUCUUAUACAUUAAAUAUGGAAUAUGGAUGGCAUGGUGGGGUGAGGCCAUUAUAU
This 6326-nucleotide long non-coding RNA is filed under the name Vitis vinifera (wine grape). RNAcentral's name for it is "long non-coding RNA (VVIN_LNC005799)". The record is from RNAcentral. Lineage: Eukaryota; Viridiplantae; Streptophyta; Magnoliopsida; Vitales; Vitaceae.